This 579-nucleotide long non-coding RNA is filed under the name Androctonus crassicauda. Lineage: Eukaryota; Metazoa; Arthropoda; Arachnida; Scorpiones; Buthidae. The record is from RNAcentral.
UGCUAAGUUGUCAUAUUUUACACACAAUUAAUAAUAUAAUAUAAAACAUAGUCACUAUUCUAAAAAUUGAAAUUACAUAAAACAUCAAUUCUGGAUUCCUCAUGUCUAUUUUCUGAUUAAAUUGCCUGAAAUUGAUGAGAACACAAAGGAAUUAACAUCAAUAGAGAGUAUCUCAAAUACCAAAUGAACUGCAGGAAAUACUAAGUGACCUGAAGACAGAAAAUAGGACUGCAAAUAAACGCUGAGAAGACAAUGUGUAAUGUUCAGUAUAGAAGUAAACCCACAGCUAGUGACAGUAGAAGGCCAGACAAUUGGAAGGAUGGAAGAAUACAAGUAUUUAGGACAAGUAAUCACAACACGAGAACAGAUGAGAGAAAUUCAUCAUAGGAUGUAUUUGGGAUGGCGUGCAUGUGGCCAAUACACAUGCAUGUCAUCCCUGGUAUCUUAUUGUCCUUUAGGAAGUUCCUAAGGGACAAUAAGAUACAAUAUGCCUUAAAAGGAAACUCUUCAACAUAUGCAUACUACCAGUAAUGAUGUUUGUCUGGAAACAUGGACCCUUACAAAGAAAAUUGAAAAGAA